CGAUUAAAUUAAAAAUUAUCAAAAUCGGUACACCCAGUAAAAAGUUAUUGCGGAUUUUCAAGAAUUUCCAUCAAUUUCUCUAGGAUCCCAUCAUCAGAUCCUGGUUUCCUUAUUACGGUACCAAACUAGGGAUAUCCCCUUUCCAACAAAAAAAGAAUUAUCAAAAUCGGUACAUCCAGUAGAAAGUUAUGCGGUAUAGUACAACGUAGGUCGACGAAAAAAGCGUCAAGUAAAAACGCAUUAUUAGAUAUAACUCGAAAAGUAGUUGUUAGAUCUCAAAUAAAUUU
Molecule: unclassified non-coding RNA, 287 nt
Filed under: Melitaea cinxia (Glanville fritillary)
Lineage: Eukaryota; Metazoa; Arthropoda; Insecta; Lepidoptera; Nymphalidae
Description: misc RNA ENSMCXG00005021303.1
Source: RNAcentral